RNAcentral lists this ribosomal RNA (1236 nucleotides) under Triticum aestivum (bread wheat). Its description in RNAcentral is "partial small subunit ribosomal RNA". The record is from RNAcentral. Lineage: Eukaryota; Viridiplantae; Streptophyta; Magnoliopsida; Poales; Poaceae.
AUGCAAGAAGAAGUCUCUGAUACUGAAGAAACACCCCAAGAGGAAAUACAGCAGGAAGAUGCCCUUGAAGAAACUGAAGAAAGGGAGCACACCAUGCAUAUAUCUGCACAGGCUAGUGGAGCGUUUACUUUUACCCACACACCUACUGUCAUUGUGACUAUAGGGGGCAAAGCAGUGGUAGCUCUGUUAGACUCUGGCAGUAACUCUUCCUAUAUGGACCAAGAUUUUGCAAUCAAAGCCAACUGCAACUUACUACCUGCCCCUACAAGAGACAUUGCUGUAGCAGGAGGAGGAAUUCUCAAGUCAAAAGCCCUAGUACCGAAUUGUGAAUUCAAUCUGCACAAACAACAGUUUGAGCACACUUUCAGGAUUUUAUCUCUGCCAAGUCAUGAAGUAGUACUGGGCUGUGAUUGGAUGGCUAAAUACAGCCCAAUUUCCUUUGAUCUCCCCAAAAAUACUUUUGCUAUCACACAAGAGGGAGUAGUUACUGAAUUCCCCACCUGCAUUCCUAUGAACAACAUUGUGGAAAUCCCUGCUGAGCAAAUGAACAAAAUGUUGGAGAAACCAGUCAGUGGUUAUGUCAUUCAAAAGUGCAACCUGCACUUGGAACAUGACAAAGAUAACACUGUACCAGCAGAAGUAACACAAUUACUUACGAAGUAUGAAACUGUAUUUGCGGAACCCACUGAGCUACCUCCCAAAAGAGAAAUAGACCAUGAAAUACCCCUGAAACCAGGGUCUGUACCACCUCAAAUGAGACCAUACAGACUGCCACAAAUCCAGAAGAAAGAAAUGGAGCAUCAGGUCAGACAAUUACUAAGAGCUCAUAUUAUCAGAGAAAGUCAAAGUCCAUACGCUGCUCCUGCAAUUCUGGUACAAAAGAAAGACACUACACAAAGACUUUGUAUUGAUUUCAGGAGAGUCAAUUCUCAAACAAUCAAGAAUAAGUUCCCCAUUCCAAUCAUAGAAGACUUGCUAGAUGAGCUACAUGGGGCAAAAAAUUUCUCCAAAUUGGACCUGAGGUCAGGUUAUCACCAAAUACGGAUGAAAGAAUCAGACAUACACAAAACUGCAUUCAGGACUCACUUUGGGCACUAUGAAUUCUUGGUAAUGCCUUUUGGCCUCUCAAAUGCCCCAGGCACUUUCCAAGCUUUAAUGAACAAGAUCUUUGGCAAGCAUCUAAGGAAGUUCAUACUAGUUUUUUUGAUGAUAUACUCAUUUUUAGUGAGACUUUAG